UGAGUCCUUCUACAGCACGGCACUGACUGUGACGAGCGUCCGGGGCCCGCCUGGCAGCAGAGAGGGCCCUCAGUACUGAGCCGGGGCCGGCCGGGCGCAGGGAGGAGCCUGGAGCAGCCUCCUGAGAGCCCAGCUGAAUGUCAGAGCUCAGCCCUGCUCAAAAGCUGCACACCCACCCAGAGGCCUUCCUGGUGCAAUAAACCAUCCCAAAAGCAAAA
Vicugna pacos (alpaca) is the source of this 218-nucleotide non-coding RNA. NCBI's taxonomy places the organism in Eukaryota, Metazoa, Chordata, Mammalia, Artiodactyla, Camelidae. The record is from RefSeq and is a predicted model, not a curated record.